UGUGCCCUUGAGGCGUGGCUUCCGGAGCUAACGCGUUAAAUCGACCGCCUGGGGAGUACGGCCGCAAGGUUAAAACUCAAAUGAAUUGACGGGGGCCCGCACAAGCGGUGGAGCAUGUGGUUUAAUUCGAUGCAACGCGAAGAACCUUACCUACUCUUGACAUCCAGAGAAUUCGCUAGAGAUAGCUUAGUGCCUUCGGGAACUCUGAGACAGGUGCUGCAUGGCUGUCGUCAGCUCGUGUUGUGAAAUGUUGGGUUAAGUCCCGCAACGAGCGCAACCCUUAUCCUUUGUUGCCAGCGAUUCGGUCGGGAACUCAAAGGAGACUGCCGGUGAUAAACCGGAGGAAGGUGGGGAUGACGUCAAGUCAUCAUGGCCCUUACGAGUAGGGCUACACACGUGCUACAAUGGCGUAUACAAAGAGAAGCGAACUCGCGAGAGCAAGCGGACCUCAUAAAGUACGUCGUAGUCCGGAUUGGAGUCUGCAACUCGACUCCAUGAAGUCGGAAUCGCUAGUAAUCGUAGAUCAGAAUGCUACGGUGAAUACGUUCCCGGGCCUUGCACUCACCGCCCGUCA
This 574-nucleotide ribosomal RNA is filed under the name Enterobacterales bacterium. Its description in RNAcentral is "bacterial SSU rRNA". It matches the Rfam family "Bacterial small subunit ribosomal RNA", at positions 825 to 1399 of the family's 1533-position model. The record is from RNAcentral. Lineage: Bacteria; Pseudomonadati; Pseudomonadota; Gammaproteobacteria; Enterobacterales.